UUGCAAACUUGAUCACUAGCUCUGUGUGAUGUUGCAGAAGCAAGGGGAACAGAUUUGCUGAAGUAAACAUGGUCAUAGAACUAUAUUAGCCUUAGAAAUGAAAUGAUUUGGGCUGUUUAAUUCUAUAUCAUGAUGAAG
This is a small nucleolar RNA of Strix occidentalis caurina (northern spotted owl), 138 nucleotides long. Lineage: Eukaryota; Metazoa; Chordata; Aves; Strigiformes; Strigidae. The record is from Ensembl.